Molecule: long non-coding RNA, 1185 nt
Filed under: Vulpes vulpes (red fox)
Lineage: Eukaryota; Metazoa; Chordata; Mammalia; Carnivora; Canidae
Description: lncRNA (ENSVVUG00000023584.1)
Source: RNAcentral
CUCAGGUCCUCAACUCCGCAUGGAGCCUUGCUGACCCCCAACGGGAGUCUGGGAGCCCCUCAGCCAUGCCCUCCCUGGGUGCAGGGCCGCCCCCCUCGAGGGCACCGGGGCGUUCAUCGCCGCAGAAGACGCCCAGAGGACUCCUACUGCCCACCCCCUGCAGCCCAGGGGCUGGUCUCUGCCCUCCCGGAGGGUCCUGCCUGCCUGCGACCUGGCAGGGGCGGCUGCCGGGGCAGGAACCCCGAGGAGCAGGGUAGGCCCAGCGACGCCCACAGCUCCCCUGCUCCCUCAGCCAAGCCUGCCCCCCCCAGCGGUCAUGUGCCCAGGCCCCUGAGGACCAAGCCCAGCAGACGUCACGGGCGUCACACAGGACGGGCAUCCGGGGCCACCCCAGCCGGUCCCUCUCAUCGUGACCUCCGGGGGACCCCUUCACCCCCGCCCCCAGCCCCUGCGUGUCGCCCUCCGCCCUGGGCUGGCGGGGUCUCCUGUCUCACUAUGCAGGGGACACAACGGAUGGAAGCCUCGGGAGGGAGCCCAGAGGGGCACGGGGGCCUGAGGGUGCACCCGGCAGACCCGAGGGGGGAGCCCGCACGUCCACCCGGGAGCCGCGAGGUGCUGCGCCCGCUGGGGACGUCCGACGCUGUCCCGCUGCCACCAGGGCAAUCUGGUCCUCGUGGUCACACCCCGAGCCCUGAGCGUCUCGUGUGUGCAGAAGAGCUCCUAGGACACACGCAUUUUAACAAAAUCAUAAACGCCGUCACGUGGCUUGAGAAAUCCGGGAGCCUCCAUCGUAAGGCAGGAGGAUGGAGCUGAAGGACGUCCUGUGCCCGGCGGAGGGAAGCCGCCACGCUCCCAGGCGCCCUGAGGGGCGGUGGCCCAGGGCACCUACGCUCACCCCACGACACUCGACACUCGGCGGCCACACACUCACGUGCAGUCGCACGCACUCCGCCGGGGCAGUGGGAGCAGCGGGCGGCGUCCCGGAGCACCCAUCCCGCGGUCCUGUGGGAGCCUCUGCGGCGCCCCCGCCCCGACCUCGUGGCCGUGGCCGAGGCUCCCGGAGCCCAGCACCCGCGGCAGGAAGCCCCUGACCGGCCCCAGGCUCCCUUCUCGGUUCCCGCUGCCUGCGGGGCCCGGGGGCUCAGCCCCGCCCCGCCAGGCCUCCAGGCUGCGAGCCACCGCCCC